UACAGAGGGGGCAAGCGUUAUUCGGAAUUAUUGGGCGUACAGGGCGCGUAGGCGGCGAUUCAAGUGACGGGUGAAAUCCCUCGGCUUAACCGAGGAACUGCCUGUCAGACUGGAUUGCUUGAGGCCGGGAGAGGCGAGUGGAAUUCCCAGUGUAGCGGUGAAAUGCGUAGAUAUUGGGAGGAACACCAGUGGCGAAGGCGGCUCGCUGGACCGGUUCUGACGCUGAGGCGCGAAAGCGUGGGGAGCAAACAGG
RNAcentral lists this ribosomal RNA (253 nucleotides) under uncultured bacterium. RNAcentral describes it as "partial 16S ribosomal RNA". It matches the Rfam family "Bacterial small subunit ribosomal RNA", at positions 524 to 776 of the family's 1533-position model. The record is from RNAcentral.